UCGCCAUUCAGACACUCCUGUGAUCACAAAGAUUUUUGAAAUGUUAAUUAGCACAAAAAGACAGAAUGUUACAUCUAAUACAAUAAUAUUCACUAAACUCCUAAUCAAACAUGAUAAAACCAUUCCUUGACAGAAUUAGCAACAAACUCCAUUUAAAUUACGAAAUUCAAGACACUCAGAUAUUAUAUGAUUGCAGAUAAUCACCGGGAAAACGUAAUGAAACCAUUUCCUGACAAAAAUUAGCAACAACUCCACCAGCAAAAUUCAAGCAUGAAUCAAGUACACAGAUAUUAUAAGAUUAUUGGUAUCACCUUAGGAACAUACUGAACCAUUUCCUAACAUAAGUUAGCGACAAACUCCAUCAAUUACGAAAUUCAAGCAUGAAAACUAGCAACAAACUCCAUCAAUUACGAAAUUCAAGCAUGUAUCAAGCAUUCAGAUAUUAAAUUAUUAAUGUACCACAGAUACAUGAUUAAGCAUAAUAAAA
Molecule: long non-coding RNA, 487 nt
Filed under: Helianthus annuus (common sunflower)
Lineage: Eukaryota; Viridiplantae; Streptophyta; Magnoliopsida; Asterales; Asteraceae
Description: sRNA HanXRQr2_Chr17g0822241
Source: RNAcentral